RNAcentral lists this ribosomal RNA (3108 nucleotides) under Triticum aestivum (bread wheat). RNAcentral describes it as "partial small subunit ribosomal RNA". Lineage: Eukaryota; Viridiplantae; Streptophyta; Magnoliopsida; Poales; Poaceae. The record is from RNAcentral.
AUGCAUCUCCGCCGCCUCCCCCCGCUCCUCCUCCUCCUCGCCCUCCUCGUCCGCCUCUCCGCCGGCGGCGCGGCGGACGGCGACGCGGACGCGCUGCUGGCGGCCAAGGCGGCGCUGUCGGACCCCACGGGCGCGCUCGCGUCCUGGGCGGCGAGCAACGGGACGGGCGGCGGCGGCGGGUACGCGCACUGCGCGUGGGCGGGCGUGGCGUGCGGCGCGCGCGGGGCCGUCGUGGGGCUGGCCCUCGGCGGGCUCAACCUCUCCGGCGCGCUCCCGCCGGCGCUGUCCAGCCUGCGCGGCCUCCUCCGCCUCGACGUCGGCGCCAACGCGCUCUCGGGCCCCGUCCCGGCCGCGCUCGGCCACCUCCGCUUCCUCACCCACCUCAACCUCUCCAACAACGCCUUCAACGGCUCCCUCCCGCCGGCCCUCGCGCGCCUCCGCGGCCUCCGCGUGCUCGACCUCUACAACAACAACCUCACCAGCCCGCUCCCGCUCGAGGUCGCGCAGAUGCCCAUGCUCCGCCACCUGCACCUCGGCGGCAACUUCUUCUCCGGCGAGAUUCCCCCCGAGUACGGCCGGUGGACGCGGCUGCAGUACCUCGCGCUCUCCGGCAACGAGCUGUCCGGGAGGAUACCGCCGGAGCUCGGGAACCUUACCAGCCUCAGGGAGCUCUACAUUGGCUACUACAACGCCUACUCCGGUGGGGUCCCGCCGGAGCUCGGCAACCUCACCGACCUCGUGCGCCUCGACGCCGCCAACUGCGGCCUCUCCGGGAAGAUCCCGCCCGAGCUCGGCAGGCUGCAGAAACUCGACACCCUGUUCCUGCAGGUGAACGGCCUCACCGGCGCCAUACCGUCGGAGCUGGGCAACCUGCAGAGCCUCAGCUCCUUGGACCUGUCCAACAAUGCGCUCGCCGGCGAGAUACCGCCCAGCUUCUCCCAGCUCAAGAACAUGACGCUGCUCAACCUGUUCCGGAACAAGCUGCGCGGCGACAUCCCCGACUUCGUCGGCGACCUGCCAAGCCUCGAGGUGCUGCAGCUCUGGGAGAACAACUUCACCGGCAGCGUGCCCCGCCGCCUCGGCGCCAACAAGCGCCUCCAGCUGGUCGACCUCUCCUCCAACAGGCUCACCGGCACGCUGCCGCCGGACCUCUGCGCCGGGGGCAAGCUGCACACGCUCAUCGCCCUCGGCAACUCCUUGUUCGGCUCCAUCCCUGACUCCCUCGGCCAGUGCAAGUCCUUGAGCCGUAUUCGUCUGGGAGAGAACUACUUGAACGGCUCCAUUCCCAAGGGGCUCUUCGAGUUGCAGAAGCUCACUCAGGUCGAGCUGCAAGACAACCUCCUCACCGGCGACUUCCCUGCUGUGGUCGGCGCUGCGGCGCCUAAUCUGGGGGAGAUCAACCUGUCCAACAAUCAGCUCACCGGUGCAUUGCCGGCAUCCAUUGGAAACUUCUCUGGUGUUCAGAAGCUGCUGCUUGAUCGCAACUCGUUCUCCGGCGCGUUGCCUGCCGAGGUUGGGCGGCUGCAGGAGCUCUCCAAGGCUGACCUUAGCGGCAAUGCGAUCGAGGGAGGUGUGCCGCCGGAGAUUGGGAAAUGCCGGCUGCUCACUUACUUGGACUUGAGCCGGAACAACCUCUCUGGGAGGAUACCUCCGGCCAUCUCUGGAAUGAGGAUACUGAACUACCUCAACUUGUCCAAGAACCACCUUGAUGGAGAGAUACCUCCAUCCAUCUCCACAAUGCAGAGCUUGACGGCGGUCGACUUCUCUUACAACAACUUGUCCGGGCUCGUCCCAGGGACCGGCCAGUUCAGCUACUUCAAUGCCACAUCUUUCGUUGGCAAUCCAAACCUGUGUGGACCAUACCUUGGUCCAUGCCGCCCUGGCAUUGCUGAUGCUGGUCACACCAACCAUGGCCAUGGAGGGCUGUCUAGCACCAUCAAGCUGCUCAUUGUGCUAGGCUUGCUUCUGUGCUCCAUUAUAUUUGCUACCGCGGCAAUUCUGAAGGCGCGGUCGUUGAAGAAAGCCAGUGAUGCACGGAUGUGGAAACUCACUGCAUUCCAGCGCCUUGAUUUCACCUGUGAUGAUGUGCUGGACUCCCUGAAAGAGGAGAACAUUAUUGGCAAAGGCGGGGCUGGAACUGUGUACAAGGGAUCAAUGCCCAAUGGUGAUCAUGUGGCCGUGAAGAGGCUCUCUGCAAUGGUCCGUGGCUCAUCACAUGAUCAUGGAUUCUCAGCGGAGAUACAAACACUUGGGAGGAUUCGGCAUCGCCAUAUUGUGCGCCUGCUAGGCUUCUGCUCAAACAAUGAGACCAACCUGCUGGUGUAUGAGUAUAUGCCCAAUGGUAGUCUCGGGGAGCUUCUCCAUGGCAAGAAGGGCGAACACCUGCACUGGGAUACUCGGUACAAGAUUGCAAUUGAAGCUGCCAAGGGGCUGUGCUACCUGCACCAUGAUUGUUCACCGCUGAUACUUCACCGUGAUGUCAAGUCGAACAAUAUACUUCUUGACUCUGACUUUGAAGCUCAUGUGGCCGACUUUGGGCUGGCGAAAUUCUUGCAGGACACCGGCGCAUCAGAAUGCAUGUCCGCCAUUGCUGGUUCAUAUGGCUACAUUGCUCCAGAAUAUGCAUACACCCUCAAGGUCGACGAGAAGAGCGAUGUCUACAGCUUCGGAGUGGUGCUUCUUGAGCUCGUGACCGGGCGGAAACCUGUAGGGGAGUUCGGGGACGGCGUCGACAUUGUCCAGUGGGUCAAGAUGAUGACAGGGCCAAACAAGGAGCAAGUGAUGAAGAUCCUGGACCCGAGGCUGUCGACCGUGCCGGUGCACGAGGUGAUGCACGUCUUCUACGUCGCAUUGCUGUGCACGGAGGAGCACAGCGUGCAGCGCCCGACGAUGCGGGAGGUCGUGCAGAUCCUCAGUGAGCUCCCAAAGCCAGCUGCCAAUCAAGGUGAUGAAGAAGAGCUUCCCCUCUCCGGCGAAGGUCCUGAGUCCAACCCUCCUGCCCCAACCAGUUCCACCGAAGCUCCGACCGGCAAGCCGAAAGAUCAGCAGCCGCAGCAGCAGCACACGAGCUCGGAGUCGUCGCCUCCUCCUGAUCUCAUCAGCAUCUGA